This 465-nucleotide ribosomal RNA is filed under the name uncultured bacterium. RNAcentral describes it as "bacterial SSU rRNA". It matches the Rfam family "Bacterial small subunit ribosomal RNA", at positions 338 to 795 of the family's 1533-position model. The record is from RNAcentral.
CCUACGGGGUGCAGCAGUAGGGAAUCUUCGGCAAUGGACGAAAGUCUGACCGAGCAACGCCGCGUGAGUGAAGAAGGUUUUCGGAUCGUAAAACUCUGUUGUUAGAGAAGAACAAGGACGUUAGUAACUGAACGUCCCCUGACGGUAUCUAACCAGAAAGCCACGGCUAACUACGUGCCAGCAGCCGCGGUAAUACGUAGGUGGCAAGCGUUGUCCGGAUUUAUUGGGCGUAAAGCGAGCGCAGGCGGUUUCUUAAGUCUGAUGUGAAAGCCCCCGGCUUAACCGGGGAGGGUCAUUGGAAACUGGGAGACUUGAGUGCAGGAGAGGGAAGCGGAAUUCCAUGUGUAGCGGUGAAAUGCGUAGAGAUAUGGAGGAACACCAGUGGCGAAGGCGGCUUCCUGGCCUGUAACUGACGCUGAGGCGCGAAAGCGUGGGGAGCAAACAGGAUUAGAUACCCGAGUAGUC